This 2397-nucleotide small RNA is filed under the name Pan troglodytes (chimpanzee). Its description in RNAcentral is "retained intron". The record is from RNAcentral. Lineage: Eukaryota; Metazoa; Chordata; Mammalia; Primates; Hominidae.
AAAACUCCUCAGGGGUUAGAUGCAGGGAGUUAUGUUGUGAUUUGUGUAGGGGUGGCUUUGGUGAGCUCAUCCUGGCAUUUUAAAAAUAAUGUGAAUGGUGUAUCCCUUUGUGAUCAUCAUCACUUUUUCCCUGCGAGUCCCAAUCAAUGCGGGUGUGACUGCUGUAUGAAGUCUCAGGAAGCCCACCCCAGUGGAGAAGAAGGCUUGCAGGAGGCAGGAGAUGCUGUCCGAUGACCACGUGAAUGAAAUCAUCAUACAGGUUGAGAAUGUUUCCUCUGGGGUCCAAAGCCACCCAUCCUCAAAUCAGAUUUUUCAAGAAAAGGUGCUGCUAGACUCAAGCAUCAACAUGGUUUCGUCAAUAUCUGACAUUGAUGUGAUAGACUCUCAGACAGUCAGCAAAAGGAAUGACCAAAAGGGUAACCAGGUGCUGCGGUUUUCAACAUCUUUGAAUGAGUCGAUGUCUCAGACCCUUCAUAGCCUGGAAUGCAUGGGCAUAGACACUCCUGGUUCUUCACAUGAAACUGUUCAAGGACAGAAGUUAAUCGCAUCUCUUAUACCCAUGACAUCCAGAGACAGAAUUAAAGCCAUCAGGAACCAGCCAAGGACCAUGGAAGAGAAAAGGAACCUUAGGAAAAUAGUUGACAAAGAAAAAAGCAAACAGACCCAUCAUAUCCUUCAGCUCAAUUGCUGUAUUCAGUGUCUGAACUCCAUUUCCCGGGCUUAUCGGAGAUCCAAGAACAGCCUGUCAGAAAUUCUGAAUUCCAUCAGCCUGUGGCAGAAGACGCUGAAGAUCAUUGGAGGCAAGUUUGGAACCAGCGUCCUCUCCUAUUUCAACUUUCUGAGAUGGCUUUUGAAGUUCAACAUUUUCUCAUUCAUCCUGAACUUCAGCUUCAUCAUAAUCCCUCAGUUUACCGUGGCCGAAAAGAACACCCUCCAGUUCACUGGGCUGGAGUUUUUCACUGGGGUGGGUUAUUUUAGGGACACAGUGAUGUACUAUGGCUUUUACACCAAUUCCACCAUCCAGCACGGGAACAGCGGGGCAUCCUACAACAUGCAGCUGGCCUACAUCUUCACAAUCGGAGCAUGCUUGACCACCUGCUUCUUCAGUUUGCUGUUCAGCAUGGCCAAGUAUUUCCGGAACAACUUCAUUAAUCCCCACAUUUACUCCGGAGGGAUCACCAAGCUGAUCUUUUGCUGGGACUUCACUGUCACUCAAGAAAAAGCUGUGAAGCUAAAACAGAAGAAUCUUAGCACUGAGAUAAGGGAGAACCUGUCAGAGCUCCGUCAGGAGAAUUCCAAGUUGACGUUCAAUCAACUGCUGACCCGCUUCUCUGCCUACAUGGUAGCCUGGGUUGUCUCUACAGGAGUGGCCAUAGCCUGCUGUGCAGCUGUUUAUUACCUGGCUGAGUACAACUUGGAGUUCCUGAAGACACACAGUAACCCUGGGGCGGUGCUGUUACUGCCUUUCGUUGUGUCCUGCAUUAAUCUGGCCGUGCCAUGCAUCUACUCCACGUUCAGGCUUGUGGAGAGGUACGAGAUGCCACGGCACGAAGUCUACGUUCUCCUGAUCCGAAACAUCUUUUUGAAAAUAUCAAUCAUUGGCAUUCUUUGUUACUAUUGGCUCAACACCGUGGCCCUGUCUGGUGAAGAGUGUUGGGAAACCCUCAUUGGCCAGGACAUCUACCGGCUCCUUCUGAUGGAUUUUGUGUUCUCUUUAGUCAAUUCCUUCCUGGGGGAGUUUCUGAGGAGAAUCAUUGGGAUGCAACUGAUCACAAGUCUUGGCCUUCAGGAGUUUGACAUUGCCAGGAACGUUCUAGAACUGAUCUAUGCACAAACUCUGGUGUGGAUUGGAAUCUUCUUCUGCCCCCUGUUGCCCUUUAUCCAAAUGAUUAUGCUUUUCAUCAUGUUCUACUCCAAAAAUAUCAGCCUGAUGAUGAAUUUCCAGCCUCCGAGCAAAGCCUGGCGGGCCUCACAGAUGAUGACUUUCUUCAUCUUCUUGCUCUUUUUCCCAUCCUUCACCGGGGUCUUGUGCACCCUGGCCAUCACCAUCUGGAGAUUGAAGCCUUCAGCUGACUGUGGCCCUUUUCGAGGUCUGCCUCUCUUCAUUCACUCCAUCUACAGCUGGAUCGACACCCUAAGUACACGGCCUGGCUACCUGUGGGUUGUUUGGAUCUAUCGGAACCUCAUUGGAAGUGUGCACUUCUUUUUCAUCCUCACCCUCAUUGUGCUAAUCAUCACCUAUCUUUACUGGCAGAUCGCAGAGGGAAGGAAGAUUAUGAUAAGGCUGCUCCAUGAGCAGAUCAUUAAUGUAAGUCCCCUUGGAUCCCUCUGAUGUCCGCCCUCACCCUUUUUAAACGCUGUAUAAACAUCCUCCAAAAUAAAGAGAAUACUACAAUG